Molecule: ribosomal RNA, 1244 nt
Filed under: metagenome
Description: bacterial LSU rRNA
Rfam family: Bacterial large subunit ribosomal RNA
Source: RNAcentral
UGAAUACGAGGCACUAAGGUGCUGAAGUAGUGUAUGUCAUACUUCCAAGAAAAGCUUGUACUAUCGUAAGGUAAAAAUGCCUGUACCAUAACCGACACAGGUGGGUAGGUAGAGUAUACUAAGGGGCGCGAGAUAACUCUCUCUAAGGAACUCGGCAAAAUAACUCCGUAACUUCGGGAGAAGGAGUGCCUUAUUCUAUAAGGUUGCAAUAACAAGAUCCAAGCAACUGCUUAUCAAAAACACAGGUCUCCGCUAAGUCGUAAGACGAUGUAUGGGGGCUGACGCCUGCCCAGUGCCAGAAGGUUAAAGAAGUCGGUUAGCAAUUGCGAAGCUGGUAACUGAAGCCCUGGUGAACGGCGGCCGUAACAAUAACGGUCCUAAGGUAGCGAAAUUCCUUGUCGGGUAAGUUCCGACCCGCACGAAAGGCGUAAUGAUUUGGAUACUGUCUCGGAGAGGGACUCGGUGAAAUAGACUUGUCUGUGAAGAUGCGGACUACCUGCACCAGGACAGAAAGACCCUAUGAAGCUUUACUGUAACUUGAAAUUGAAAUUGGACUUUAUUCGCGCAGUAUAGGUGGGAGGCGUUGAUUAUAAUCUUGUGGGAUUAUUGGAGCCAUUAGUGAGAUACCACUCUUGUAAUGUUAGAUUUCUAACUUUGAAUCAUGAUCUGGUCAAAGAACAGUUUCAGGCGGGCAGUUUGACUGGGGCGGUCGCCUCCUAAAUGGUAACGGAGGCGUACAAAGGUUUCCUCUGAAUGGGUAGAAAUCGUAUCUAGAGUGUAAAGGCAUAAGGAAGCUUGACUGUGAGACCUACAAGUCGAGCAGGGACGAAAGUCGGUCUUAGUGAUCUGACGGUACUGAGUGGAAAGGCCGUCACUCAACGGAUAAAAGUUACUCUAGGAUAACAGGCUGAUCUCCCCCAAGAGUUCACAUCGACGGGGAGGUUUGGCACCUCGAUGUCGGCUCAUCGCAUCCUGGGGCGGUAGUACGUCCCAAGGGUUGGGCUGUUCGCCCAUGAAAGCGGUACGCGAGCUGGGUUCAGAACGUCGUGAGACAGUUCGGUCCAUAUCCGGUGUAGGCGUUAGAAUAUUGAGAGGAGCCUUCUUUAGUACGAGAGGACCGAGAAGGACAUACCUCUGGUGUACCAGUUAUCGUGCCAACGGUAAACGCUGGGUAGCUAUGUAUGGAGUGGAUAACCGCUGAAAGCAUCUAAGUGGGAAGCCCACCUCAAGAUAAGUAUUCUCAU